RNAcentral lists this ribosomal RNA (254 nucleotides) under uncultured bacterium. RNAcentral describes it as "partial 16S ribosomal RNA". It matches the Rfam family "Bacterial small subunit ribosomal RNA", at positions 524 to 776 of the family's 1533-position model. The record is from RNAcentral.
UACGGGGGGAGCAAGCGUUGUUCGGAUUUACUGGGCGUAAAGGGCGCGUAGGCGGUCGUGACAAGUCACUUGUGAAAUCUCCGGGCUUAACUCGGAACGGUCAAGUGAAACUGUCAUGCUAGAGUGCAGAAGGGGCAAUCGGAAUUCUUGGUGUAGCGGUGAAAUGCGUAGAUAUCAAGAGGAACACCUGAGGUGAAGACGGGUUGCUGGGCUGACACUGACGCUGAGGCGCGAAAGCCAGGGGAGCAAACGGG